Sarcophilus harrisii (Tasmanian devil) is the source of this 938-nucleotide long non-coding RNA. RefSeq lists it as uncharacterized. The record is from RefSeq and is a predicted model, not a curated record. Lineage: Eukaryota; Metazoa; Chordata; Mammalia; Dasyuromorphia; Dasyuridae. The transcript is spliced from 5 exons.
GCCUCAGAGGCUCUUGGGAGGGGUAGUGGAGUUAGCAAGGUUUGGAUAAGACACAGUCCCUACCCUCAUGAUGUAUAUAAUCUAGAGGGGGUGUAAUAUAUGAAAACAUGGGGGCAGCUAGUUGGUGCAAUGGUUAGAGUACCAGCCCUGAAGUCAGGAGGACCUGAGUUCAAAUGUGACCUCAGAUGCUUAAUACUUCCUGGGUCAAGAAGUGACAUAGGAAACUGCUAUUCUGGACCUGAUGCUGAUCAACUUAUAAUUACUUAUUGCUGUUGUUGAAAAGGAAAAUGACUAUUCCACAGAGAAAAACAGUCAUCUGAAAGAGAAAUCCAAGAUAAGUAAAGAAAUGCUCAUUUUACAAAUAAGGAAACUUGCCCAGGAUCAAACAGCUAGGGAUUGUCUGAGCCAAAUUUGAACUCGGGAAGAUGAAUUCUCCUCUGACUCUCCAGGCCCAAAGCUUUAUCCACUGUGCCAUUGAGCUGUCCCAGGCCUCUUUACUCCAAAUGGGAUCACAAAAAGUUGGACUCAACUGAACAACAACGAAAAUCUCCCCAAGAGGUACAAGUCUUAAUCUGGCAUGGAAGAUUUGACCUGCUUUAUUUCUGACCUAGUCUGGUUUGCCCCUUAUUUGGCAAUCUGAUGGUUGUCCUAGAGAACAACUGCUUCCAGGAAUUCACCAUAUUAAUGCAAGCCUUAGAGUGGACAUCCAACCAGUAGUCUACUAGAGCUUAGAACUCUUGAGUUCAUGAUAUACACUAGUUUCCCAGGGAUUUCAAGCCGUGUUAUCAUCAUGCCCAGACAAUAAAUGUUUUUACUGAUUCUAAACCAAGCCCCUUAAUUUUUUGCCUUUUUUUUGCUUAAUUUUUGGCUUUGUAUAGUCAGUGCUCAGUACUAUUCCUGCAGUGUAAUGGGUACUUAAUAAAUGCUUGUUAAUUGAU